UGGGGAAUAUUGCGCAAUGGGCGGAAGCCUGACGCAGCGACGCCGCGUGGGGGAUGACGGCCUUCGGGUUGUAAACCUCUUUCGCCAGGGACGAAGCGUGAGUGACGGUACCUGGAUAAGAAGCACCGGCCAACUACGUGCCAGCAGCCGCGGUAACACGUAGGGUGCGAGCGUUGUCCGGAAUUAUUGGGCGUAAAGAGCUCGUAGGCGGUCUGUCGCGUUGGUCGUGAAAACUUGGGGCUUAACCCUGAGCUUGCGGUCGAUACGGGCAUGACUGGAGUUCGGCAGGGGAGACUGGAAUUCCUGGUGUAGCGGUGAAAUGCGCAGAUAUCAGGAGGAACACCGGUGGCGAAGGCGGGUCUCUGGGCCGAUACUGACGCUGAGGAGCGAAAGCGUGGGGAGCGAACAGGAUUAGAUACCCUGGUAGUCCACGCCGUAAACGGUGGGCGCUAGGUGUGGGGGCCCAUUCCACGGUCUCUGUGCCGCAGCUAACGCAUUAAGCGCCCCGCCUGGGGAGUACGGCCGCAAGGCUAAAAC
This 537-nucleotide ribosomal RNA is filed under the name uncultured bacterium. Its description in RNAcentral is "partial 16S ribosomal RNA". It matches the Rfam family "Bacterial small subunit ribosomal RNA", at positions 355 to 900 of the family's 1533-position model. The record is from RNAcentral.